This 468-nucleotide ribosomal RNA is filed under the name uncultured bacterium. RNAcentral describes it as "partial 16S ribosomal RNA". It matches the Rfam family "Bacterial small subunit ribosomal RNA", at positions 28 to 507 of the family's 1533-position model. The record is from RNAcentral.
GACGAACGCUGGCGGCGUGCUUAACACAUGCAAGUCGAACGGAAAGGCCCUGCUUUUGUGGGGUGCUCGAGUGGCGAACGGGUGAGUAACACGUGAGUAACCUGCCCUUGACUUUGGGAUAACUUCAGGAAACUGGGGCUAAUACCGGAUAGGAGCUCCUGCUGCAUGGUGGGGGUUGGAAAGUUUCGGCGGUUGGGGAUGGACUCGCGGCUUAUCAGCUUGUUGGUGGGGUAGUGGCUUACCAAGGCUUUGACGGGUAGCCGGCCUGGGAGGGUGACCGGCCACAUUGGGACUGCGGUACGGCCCAGACUGCUACGGGAGGCAGCAGUGGGGAAUAUUGCACAAUGGGAGGAAGCCUGAUGCAGCAACGCCGCGUGCGGGAUGACGGCCUUCGGGUUGUAAACCGCUUUCGCCUGUGACGAAGCGUGAGUGACGGUAAUGGGUAAAGAAGCACCGGCUAACUACGUG